Molecule: non-coding RNA, 552 nt
Organism: Corylus avellana
Lineage: Eukaryota; Viridiplantae; Streptophyta; Magnoliopsida; Fagales; Betulaceae
Source: RefSeq, a predicted model, not a curated record
AAUGAAGCUACAUAUGUUUAUGUAGAUGUUCUUGAAAACAUGAAAGAUGGUACUAAAAUGUUGCAAGUUGAUGAUAGUGGUGGUAGAAUGACUCCUGAUAAGAUGCAGCAGUGCAUGUCCCUUGGCUAUUCUGUAAAAAGCAACAUGGCGAACACCAUUGGUCAAUGUGAGCUCCUAAAUUACUUAAUGGGUAAAUAAUUGGAUGUGCAGAAGACUUGACAUGCAUUAAUCUUUUUCUUCUUGUUUUUUCCCCCCAAUUUUCUCCCAUAUGGAAAUGAGUUCAAGACAAGUACAAUGAGGCUAGGAGCAAAUGUUCUUGUGUUUUCACGUUGCCAAGGGAAUGAUGGACAAAGGUUCACACAAAGCAUCAGAAUGAUAUCCUAAACAUUUCUAAGGGGUAUUGGAAAGGAAGAUGUUGUGGUUUCCAUGAUUGACUUUGAAAAAAGAGGACAAGAGUGGAAGAAGAUGACACGAUCUUCUCUGCAUGACUGGGAUAGAAAUUUAGCAACCAUAUUGCAGUGGUCACCUUAUGCAAAUGAAGAAGAUCUUCUU